CCUACGGGAGGCAGCAGUGAGGAAUAUUGGUCAAUGGACGGAAGUCUGAACCAGCCAAGCCGCGUGAAGGAAGACGGCUCUAUGAGUUGUAAACUGCUUUUGUACAAGGGUAAACCUGAAUACGUGUAUUCAGCUGAAAGUACUUUACGAAUAAGGAUCGGCUAACUCCGUGCCAGCAGCCGCGGUAAUACGGAGGAUCCAAGCGUUAUCCGGAUUUAUUGGGUUUAAAGGGUGCGUAGGCGGAGUGUUAAGUUAGAGGUGAAAUGUCUGGGCUUAACUCGGGAAUUGCCUUUCAUACUGUUUAUCUAGAGAUUAGUUGCGGUAGGCGGAAUGUAUGGUGUAGCGAUGAAAUGCUUAGAUAUCAUACAGAACCCCGAUUGCGAAGGCAGCUUACCAAUCUAUAUCUGACGUUGAGGCACGAAAGCGUGGGGAGCAAACAGGAUUAGAUACCCGUGUAGUC
Molecule: ribosomal RNA, 460 nt
Filed under: uncultured bacterium
Lineage: Bacteria
Description: partial 16S ribosomal RNA
Rfam family: Bacterial small subunit ribosomal RNA
Source: RNAcentral